AGAAUCAACGCUGGCGGCGUGCCUAACACAUGCAAGUCGCACGAGAAAGGGGUAGCAAUACCCUGAGUACAGUGGCGCACGGGUGAGUAACACGUGAAUAAUCUACCUCCGAGUGGGGAAUAAACUGAGAGAAAUCUUAGCUAAUACCGCAUAACACUUACGAGUCAAAGCAGCAAUGCGCUUGGAGAGGAGUUCGCGGCAGAUUAGUUAGUUGGCGGGGUAAUGGCCCACCAGGACGAUGAUCUGUA
RNAcentral lists this ribosomal RNA (248 nucleotides) under uncultured bacterium. RNAcentral's name for it is "partial small subunit ribosomal RNA". It matches the Rfam family "Bacterial small subunit ribosomal RNA", at positions 26 to 285 of the family's 1533-position model. The record is from RNAcentral.